This 207-nucleotide ribosomal RNA is filed under the name uncultured bacterium. Its description in RNAcentral is "partial 16S ribosomal RNA". It matches the Rfam family "Bacterial small subunit ribosomal RNA", at positions 568 to 774 of the family's 1533-position model. The record is from RNAcentral.
CGCGUAGGCGGCUUUAUAAGUCUGGAGUGAAAGUCCUCUUUUCAAGGGAGGAAUUGCUUUGGAAACUAUAGAGCUUGAGUGCAGGAGAGGUUAUCGGAAUUCCCGGUGUAGCGGUGAAAUGCGUAGAUAUCGGGAGGAACAUCGGUGGCGAAGGCGGGUAACUGGACUGCAACUGACGCUGAGGCGCGAAAGUGUGGGGAGCAAACA